CCCAGCCGCCACGACCAAAUCAACGUGCCCGACCUUCGGAUGUCGGAAAGCUAAGCAGGUUUGAUUGAGCCUGCUUAGUACUUUGAUUGGAGACUGCCUGGGAAUACGAAGUGCUGCGGGCU
Molecule: ribosomal RNA, 122 nt
Filed under: Petromyzon marinus (sea lamprey)
Lineage: Eukaryota; Metazoa; Chordata; Hyperoartia; Petromyzontiformes; Petromyzontidae
Source: RNAcentral